GUGACGAUAGUGUAGUGGUAACAUGCCUGACUGUGAAUCAGGAGUCCACGGUUCGAUUCCGUCCGUCACC
This 70-nucleotide transfer RNA is filed under the name Paenibacillus sp. PDC88. RNAcentral's name for it is "tRNA_His_GTG". It matches the Rfam family "tRNA". From Rfam's summary of the family: Transfer RNA (tRNA) molecules are approximately 80 nucleotides in length. Lineage: Bacteria; Bacillati; Bacillota; Bacilli; Caryophanales; Paenibacillaceae. The record is from RNAcentral.